Molecule: ribosomal RNA, 496 nt
Filed under: uncultured bacterium
Lineage: Bacteria
Description: partial 16S ribosomal RNA
Rfam family: Bacterial small subunit ribosomal RNA
Source: RNAcentral
AUGAACGCUGGCGGCGUGCCUCAUCCAUGCCAGUCGCGCGAACAGACGAGGAGCUUGCUCCUCUGACGUUAGCGGCGGACGGGUUAGUAACACGUGGAUAACCUACCUAUAAGACUGGGAUAACUUCGGGAAACCGGAGCUAAUACCGGAUAAUAUAUUGAACCGCAUGGUUCAAUAGUGAAAGACGGUUUUGCUGUCACUUAUAGAUGGAUCCUCGCCGCAUUAGCUAGUUGGUAAGGUAACGGCUUACCAAGGCAACGAUGCGUAGCCGACCUGAGAGGGGGAUCGGCCACACUGGAACUGAGACACGGUCCAGACACCUACGGGAGGCAGCAGUAGGGAAUCUUCCGCAAUGGGCGAAAGCCUGACGGAGCAACGCCGCGUGAGUGAUGAAGGUCUUCGGAUCGUAAAACUCUGUUAUUAGGGAAGAACAAAUGUGUAAGUAACUAUGCACGUCUUGACGGUACCUAAUCAGAAAGCCACGGCUAACUACGUG